This 207-nucleotide ribosomal RNA is filed under the name uncultured bacterium. RNAcentral describes it as "partial 16S ribosomal RNA". It matches the Rfam family "Bacterial small subunit ribosomal RNA", at positions 568 to 774 of the family's 1533-position model. The record is from RNAcentral.
UGCGUAGACGGUAUGUUAAGUUCGUUGUUAAAGGCUCUGGCCUAACCGGAGUAUUGCAAUGAAAAACUGGCGUGCUAGAGGGUGAGAGAGAGAAGUGGAAUUCCUGGAGUAGCGGUAAAAUGCGUGGAUCUCAGGAGGAACACCAAUGGCGAAGGCAGCUUCUUGGCUCAUUCCUGACGUUGAGGCACGAAAGCGUGGGAGCAAACA